RNAcentral lists this ribosomal RNA (496 nucleotides) under uncultured bacterium. Its description in RNAcentral is "partial 16S ribosomal RNA". It matches the Rfam family "Bacterial small subunit ribosomal RNA", at positions 28 to 506 of the family's 1533-position model. The record is from RNAcentral.
GAUGAACGCUGGCGGCGUGCCUAAUACAUGCAAGUCGAGCGAACGGACGAGAAGCUUGCUUCUCUGAUGUUAGCGGCGGACGGGUGAGUAACACGUGGAUAACCUACCUAUAAGACUGGGAUAACUUCGGGAAACCGGAGCUAAUACCGGAUAAUAUUUUGAACCGCAUGGUUCAAAAGUGAAAGACGGUCUUGCUGUCACUUAUAGAUGGAUCCGCGCUGCAUUAGCUAGUUGGUAAGGUAACGGCUUACCAAGGCAACGAUGCAUAGCCGGCCUGAGAGGGUGAUCGGCCACACUGGAACUGAGACACGGUCCAGACUCCUACGGGAGGCAGCAGUAGGGAAUCUUCCGCAAUGGGCGAAAGCCUGACGGAGCAACGCCGCGUGAGUGAUGAAGGUCUUCGGAUCGUAAAACUCUGUUAUUAGGGAAGAACAUAUGUGUAAGUAACUGUGCACAUCUUGACGGUACCUAAUCAGAAAGCCACGGCUAACUACGU